RNAcentral lists this ribosomal RNA (254 nucleotides) under uncultured bacterium. RNAcentral describes it as "partial 16S ribosomal RNA". It matches the Rfam family "Bacterial small subunit ribosomal RNA", at positions 524 to 776 of the family's 1533-position model. The record is from RNAcentral.
UACGUAGGGGGCAAGCGUUGUCCGGAUUUAUUGGGCGUAAAGAGCUCGUAGGCGGCUCGGUAAGUCGGAUGUGAAACCUCCAGGCUCAACCUGGAGACGCCAUCUGAUACUGCCGUGGCUUGAGUCCGGUAGAGGAGCAGGGAAUUCCUGGUGUAGCGGUGAAAUGCGCAGAUAUCAGGAGGAACACCAGCGGCGAAGGCGCUGCUCUGGGCCGGUACUGACGCUGAGGAGCGAAAGCGUGGGGAGCAAACAGG